GGUUAAUGCCAUCUUCUGUGCUGGCCCUUUCCAAGAAGGCACCAUCACCAGCACAGGGAUUAUGCCUCUAUCAGGGGAUAAACCCCACUCAGCCCCGUAGCCCUUCCUUCCAGCGUCUAGCUCUGAGAUGUCUUUACUGAUGGGGAAUUAAGCCUGAGCCUCCAGAGAUGCUGACCUCCAGGUUCCAGGCUGUGGUUUUGCCAUUUACGCUGGAUCCCAGGUACUGGAGUGAUCUUGGAUUCUUAGCUUUUAAGUCCAGGCUCUGUGUAGUUCGUGGUUCUUAGGUAUGCUUUCUUCCAAGCUUCCAGUUGUAGGUUUCUUUAAAAUACAGUUCCAAAUGUCUGGGCUUUCUCAGACAGAAAUGCAGAACACUGACUUUCUGGCUGCUGAUCAGACUCCUUAGGACUCAGGACUGGUCCCCAGGCAGGAAAGAAAAGGCAAGUGCCAACGAGGAUGGCGCUGGUGCUGCCUUAGGGCAAGCCAGGCCUGCUGAUUUCCCACCAGGUAAGCCUGGGGGCUGGGUCCCCCACCCCACAGCGUACUUAGCAGCUGAGCUGCCUGAGCUGGAGGUGCUCCAGUCCGAAGAGGGGGCUCCAAGCUCUCCAGGCUGUUGAGGCUGCUGCUGGGCAAUUCCAAGGUCUGGACCUCAUUACACGCACCUAGUAAGGCAGGGGUGGAAGGCAUGUGGCUGCUGGGGGACUGCUGAAGCCAGAUCAGUGAUGAGCUUCAGCUUAAAGUAGUGAGCUAGGGGAUCACUUAAAGGGGCAUUUAAAGUAGUGAGCUAGGGCAGAAAGAGCCUGGAGUUGAGAAGGGGGCGUGACUCACAGCAACAGGGAGGCCUUCUGUGGACUUGAGUCUUGGGCAGGGGCUGCUGCAAUAAACACAGCAGGGCCCCAUCUAGCCGCUGGAAGAUGUUGAGCAUGAGCAGAGUCUGGCGAGUUUCAGGCGACAGGCCCCACCGCUCUUCUUCCAGCAACUCCCGGACCACUCCAAAAUCUUGUCUGAGCUGCAGUGCUCCCUGCAGGCUGAAGGCCAAGGUACAAUGCAGUCACCUGACCUUGUGGUCUCCCUAAACUACUCUGCCACACCCAUCUGCUCCCCUUUUCCAGUUCCAUUCAUUCCCCUGCCGCUACCUUCGUUUUUCCCCACCUGAAUCUAAUCCUGUGGGUGAGGAUGUGGUCAAGCCAGGCACCCAGAAUGGUUGUCAACACCUGGCCAAGGACAGGGAUCUGGGCUGGGGGUGGCAACCCCUGCAAUCCUUGCAACACAGGCUCCAGUACAGUGUGGACCACCAACCGAGCAUACUCACUGGGAAUGCUGGGGAGUUCUGGAGUGACAGAAGAGAAGGGGCAGGAUGUAAGAAUACUGAGAUCCACUGAGCACCUAAUGGAGUGACUGGGAACCCCCUUCUUCCUCUGUCAACUGAUAUUGGUAAGGAACCUGUGCACUCAAGACUCAGGAAGCGUGAGGUCACAUGACGGGACGUCACAGUGCUGUACGUGGUGGAAUGCCCAGAGCAGAUGCCUAACAGUGCAGUCACCAGACAGAGGGGCAAGGCAUCAGGAUGCUUUGCACAGUGUUUGGUUCACAUGAGAGAGAGGAAGGGAGGGAAAGAGAGAAACAUUGAAUGGCUGCCUUCCACAUGCGCCCCAAACUGGUGAUCGAACCUGCAGUCAAGGCGACGUGCCCUGACCCAGAAUGGAGCCUGCAGCCUACGGGACACCGCUCCCACCACGCCAUGCCAGCCAUGGCUGUAUUCUAUGUCACUUUUAAACUAUGGACAUGUAUUACCUUAAUAAAAAUACAAAUGACAUGUUCAAGGAAGAGGAGAAACAUUGUAUGAAAAACUAGUAAAAAAAAAGGAUUCAACUUUU
Molecule: long non-coding RNA, 1874 nt
Organism: Artibeus jamaicensis (Jamaican fruit-eating bat)
Lineage: Eukaryota; Metazoa; Chordata; Mammalia; Chiroptera; Phyllostomidae
Exons: 4
Source: RefSeq, a predicted model, not a curated record